UACGGAGGGUGCAAGCGUUAAUCGGAAUUACUGGGCGUAAAGGGCGCGUAGGUGGUUACUUAAGUCGGAUGUGAAAGCCCCGGGCUUAACCUGGGAAUUGCAUUUGAUACUGGGUGACUAGAAUGUGGUAGAGGGUAGCGGAAUUUCUGGUGUAGCGGUGAAAUGCGUAGAUAUCAGAAGGAACAUCAAUGGCGAAGGCAGCUACCUGGGCCAACAUUGACGCUGAGGCGCGAAAGCGUGGGGAGCAAACAGG
This 253-nucleotide ribosomal RNA is filed under the name uncultured bacterium. RNAcentral describes it as "partial 16S ribosomal RNA". It matches the Rfam family "Bacterial small subunit ribosomal RNA", at positions 524 to 776 of the family's 1533-position model. The record is from RNAcentral. RNAcentral also lists the same sequence under 1 other name.